Molecule: transfer RNA, 73 nt
Organism: Camelus ferus (Wild Bactrian camel)
Lineage: Eukaryota; Metazoa; Chordata; Mammalia; Artiodactyla; Camelidae
Rfam family: tRNA
About the family: Transfer RNA (tRNA) molecules are approximately 80 nucleotides in length.
Source: Rfam
GAGGGUAUAGCUCAGAUGGUAGAGCACAUGCUUAGCAUAGAUGAGGUCCUGGGUUCAAUCCCCAGUACCUCCU